This 200-nucleotide microRNA precursor is filed under the name Lotus japonicus. RNAcentral's name for it is "miR11148 stem-loop (lja-MIR11148)". The record is from miRBase by way of RNAcentral. Lineage: Eukaryota; Viridiplantae; Streptophyta; Magnoliopsida; Fabales; Fabaceae.
AAAUUAAUUAUAAACUAAUAAAAUGAAGAGUUGUGAUUGAAUGAUUGUAUAAAACUUAUUUACACCGUCGGUACAUAGAAAUUAAUUUCAAUCAUAAUCACAAUUGGGUUAUGGAUUAAUUUCUAUUCACUGACGGUGUAAAUAAGUUUUACACAAUUAUUCAAUCACAACCCUUCAUUUUGUUAGCUUAUAAUUAAUUU